RNAcentral lists this non-coding RNA (88 nucleotides) under unclassified sequences. Its description in RNAcentral is "c-di-GMP sequence". It matches the Rfam family "c-di-GMP-II-GAG riboswitch aptamer". The record is from Rfam by way of RNAcentral.
CAUCCUGCUGGAAGCGACAAACCGCGAUUCGUGUUGAACCGGUCACCUAGAAUCGCGGGAGCAAGUGGUGAGACCGACCAGAAUUCUU